Molecule: long non-coding RNA, 239 nt
Organism: Nannospalax galili (Upper Galilee mountains blind mole rat)
Lineage: Eukaryota; Metazoa; Chordata; Mammalia; Rodentia; Spalacidae
Exons: 3
Source: RefSeq, a predicted model, not a curated record
AGGUAGCAACUGAUCCUUUUACGAUGCUUGGAUCUCAGCCCAUAGUAUACUCAUCAUAGAGUAAAGCUGAGGAAUACAAGUAGAAAUAACCAUUUGGACUUAUGCGGUGUGACCAGCUGUUUCACAGCUCCUGCUGCCAUAGCUUCCCCACCACGAUAGACUGCACCUUCAAACAGUUCAAUAGCCAGUUUUCUAUCUUGCACUUUUCCUGUUGCUGAGAUACGAGAUGGACAUUCCUG